GACGUCAAAUCAUCAUGCCCCUUAUGACCUGGGCUACACACGUGCUACAAUGGGAAGUACAACGAGUUGCGAAGUCGCGAGGCUAAGCUAAUCUCUUAAAGCUUCUCUCAGUUCGGAUUGCAGGCUGCAACUCGCCUGCAUGAAGCCGGAAUCGCUAGUAAUCGCGGAUCAGCACGCCGCGGUGAAUACGUUCCCGGGCCUUGUACACACCGCCCGUCACACCACGAGAGUUUGUAACACCCGAAGUCGGUGAGGUAACCUUUUGGAGCCAGCCGCCUAAGGUGGGAUAGAUGAUUGGGGUGAAGUCGUAACAAGGUAGCCGUAUCGGAAGG
RNAcentral lists this ribosomal RNA (332 nucleotides) under Enterococcus faecium. RNAcentral's name for it is "bacterial SSU rRNA". It matches the Rfam family "Bacterial small subunit ribosomal RNA", at positions 1181 to 1512 of the family's 1533-position model. Lineage: Bacteria; Bacillati; Bacillota; Bacilli; Lactobacillales; Enterococcaceae. The record is from RNAcentral.